AGCAUGACUCAUGAUCCGUUCUUCUGAUUUGAUUUGAUUUGUUUUUUUGUGUGUGCGCAGGCAUCCCUUCCGGCGACGGAGGAGAGAUCCGGAAUCACCUGGACUAAGCAGUUGAACGCGCCGCUGGAAGAGGUCGACCCUGAGAUUGCUGACAUCAUCGAGCACGAGAAGGUCCGCCAAUGGAAGGGUCUGGAGCUCAUCCCGUCGAAGAAUUUCACGUCUGUGUCAGUGAUGCAGGCAGUAGGUUCCGUCAUGACCAACAAGUACAGCAAGGGAUACCCUGGUGCAAGAUACUACGGGGGAAAUGAGUUUAUUGAUAUGGCAGAAUCCUUGUGUCAAAAACGUGCUUUGGAGGCUUUCCGUUUGGACCCGACGAAGUGGGGAGGUAAAAUCUUGUAUAGUCUAGCAGCAAUAUCUA
RNA transcript from Zea mays, 418 nucleotides. It is a transcript of the gene named serine hydroxymethyltransferase pseudogene, with no coding region annotated. The transcript has 4 exons. NCBI's taxonomy places the organism in Eukaryota, Viridiplantae, Streptophyta, Magnoliopsida, Poales, Poaceae. The record is from RefSeq and is marked validated.